This 253-nucleotide ribosomal RNA is filed under the name uncultured bacterium. Its description in RNAcentral is "partial 16S ribosomal RNA". It matches the Rfam family "Bacterial small subunit ribosomal RNA", at positions 524 to 776 of the family's 1533-position model. The record is from RNAcentral.
UACAGAGGUGGCAAGCGUUGUUCGGAAUUACUGGGCGUAAAGGGCGCGUAGGUGGCCUUCUUAGUCAGACGUGAAAUCCCUAGGCUUAACCUGGGAACUGCGUCUGAUACUGGAAGGCUCGAGUUCGGGAGAGGAAUGUGGAAUUCCAGGUGUAGCGGUGAAAUGCGUAGAUAUCUGGAGGAACACCGGUGGCGAAGGCGGCAUUCUGGACCGAAACUGACACUGAGGCGCGAAAGCCAGGGGAGCAAACGGG